RNAcentral lists this ribosomal RNA (517 nucleotides) under uncultured bacterium. RNAcentral describes it as "bacterial SSU rRNA". It matches the Rfam family "Bacterial small subunit ribosomal RNA", at positions 26 to 518 of the family's 1533-position model. The record is from RNAcentral.
GGCUACAGGACGAACGCUGGCGGCGUGCCUAACACAUGCAAGUCGAACGGAGAUACUUUGAAGCUUGCGAUAAAGUAUCUUAGUGGCGGACGGGUGAGUAACGCGUGGGUAAUCUGCCCAUAAGUGGGGAACAACAGUUGGAAACGACUGCUAAUACCGCAUAAUCUGCCUUAGGGUAGGAAAGGUGGCCUCUUAACAAUGCUGCCGCUUAUGGAUGAGCCCGCGUCUGAUUAGCUAGUUGGUGGGGUAAAGGCCUACCAAGGCGACGAUCAGUAGCCGGCCUGAGAGGGUGAACGGCCACACUGGGACUGAGACACGGCCCAGACUCCUACGGGAGGCAGCAGUGGGGAAUAUUGCGCAAUGGGGGAAACCCUGACGCAGCGACGCCGCGUUGAGCGAAGAAGGCCUUAGGGUUGUAAAGCUCUGUUUUAGGGGACGAAUGUUCAUAGGAGUAAUAUGCCUGUGAAAUGACGGUACCCUAAGAGGAAGCCCCGGCUAACUACGUGCCAGCAGCCGC